This 195-nucleotide ribosomal RNA is filed under the name uncultured bacterium. RNAcentral's name for it is "partial 16S ribosomal RNA". It matches the Rfam family "Bacterial small subunit ribosomal RNA", at positions 1290 to 1500 of the family's 1533-position model. The record is from RNAcentral.
AGUUCGGAUUGUAGGCUGAAACUCGCCUACAUGAAGCUGGAAUUGCUAGUAAUCACAGGUCAGCAUACUGUGGUGAAUACGUUCCCGGGCCUUGUACACACCGCCGUCACACCAUGAGAGUUGAGAAUACCCGAAGCCCAUGUCAAAGUGGUCGAAGGUAGGCUUGAUGAUUGGGUGAAGUCGUAACAAGGUAGC